UCUUUUUGAACUAAAUGACAAAACACUGCGUGUGUGAGAAGUGGGUUUGGGUUUGGGUGUAGCCUCUGCUGCAGCCUGGCCAUUGCCCCCUGCACAGGGCUGAGAUGAUAGUGCCGUGUCCCUGUAGUGUUUGCUAAUGAAUGAGCCUAGGUGUGCAUAUUCAUGUAAAGCAGGUUACAAAGGCACUGUUGGUUUAGUGGGCCCUUCAGCCACUGGCUCACACUGGGGCCAUGGCUGCUCUCAGUGGGUUCACCCCUCUGGUGCCGAGCAAACACACCGAGCGCUCUGAUUGGUCGAGCACGCCGUCCAAUCAGCGCGCCGCAGCCCGGCUCCGUACUACUGCUGCUGGCUCGGCCUCAACGCGCCCAUUCAUUGGCUCCUCGGCUCGACUAUUCUAUAUGAAUCAGGGCGCCAAUUAUGCAUUUUCCUUGCCGUGUUUCCUCUCUUUGGCUUUGUCAUCAUAAGGCAUAAAGAUGUAACGAAACACGAGCCGGGAGCCAGAUCCGCGGCGCAUUCCCCCCCUCCUUAUAACGGUUCUCUGCUUUUCAGGAACUUUAUGUUGUGUUUACAUUCACGGGGCGCUCCUAUAAAUAGCUUAAACUAGCGGGGAAUAAAAGAGAGCGUUUAAAAGUAGCUUUUACGACGUCUAAUACUCACUUUCAAUCUUUUUAUAAUUUGUUUCAAGUUUCAGCUUCCUCUGAAAAAGUUGCUCCAGAACUUUCCAGAUCCAUAUAUUCCCUGUGUAUCUGCCGAUUUAUCCAGCACGGGCGCUUCCCGUUGGCCUAGCUGGGCUCAUACAAUUUUUUAUAACCCGGUUUAUGUGGCUUUGAUGGUUACAUCUGCGGCCGAAACAACGAAACGGAGGGAGCUUGUGUUUUGUGUGCACGGCUGUCCUCUGCAGAGCUGAACGUAUGGAGACAGCGGUCAUGUGAGUGCUCGGUUGGUCUGUCGGUUUAAAUGAACUGAUGCACGGCUGCAGCCUGUCCGAGUACGUGUGUGUGUGUGUGUGUGUGAGAGAGAGAGAGAGAGAGGGAGAGAGAGAGAGAGAGAGAGAGAGAGAGAGUGGCUAAAGGGCUCUGCAGGAGGAGUAGUGAAUGUAUCGCUGAGGAAUGUACAGAAAGUCUCCCCGCCCCCAGUUUCUCUCAGGACUCCUCGCUAUGGACAAAUUCCAUAGGGGGCCAAACUGACAUAAAGUUUCAGACUAGACUGCAUCCUAUGUGGGAAGAUUGCAGCGGUUAGUGUCAGUGCAGGGAGAGAGAACUGACAAAAUCGAUCUGGUUAAACAUAGUCGAGGUUAUUUCUAGAGGGAAGAGAUUGUUUAAGUAAAAUGAGAGGAGCAAAAAAAACAAAAAAACAAAAAACGCAGCUUAUAGCCCAACUUUGUUGAGCUGCUGGCCUCACUCCAAGAUAUAGUCUACGUCGCCAAGGCUCUUUCACAAAAAACCCCUUUUAGGCUACAGUGAAUCAAGGGAUUCUGUUUGACCGUUGGAAGCUACAAAAAGCCAGUGGCUGACCGCUUCGGACAGAGUCAGGGAACAGUGUUGGUGAACGCCAUGUUGAGGAGAGCCUCACUGGAUGCAAACACAAUGUUCCUGAUCGCUGCUUAAUGCAAGGAUCUGGGCUCCACACAGCUUUUUUUUCCGGCCGCCAACAAGUGCCUUUAACGCAGCCUCCAAAACUGAACCAAACCAACAGCAAACAGACAAGAAAAAUGUGUUUGCUGCUGCUGGGAUGACACCCUUCAUCUCAUUAGAAAAUGGCGGUUUGUGCCCCCCCCUCUUCAAAACACAAGCCAAAGGAAUAUUUCUGUUUAAAAGCAGUAAAUAACGAGUUAACACUUGUUGGUAAAAUGCAGAAAGAGCAAAUACAUUUCUGUGAACAUCUCUGUUAUUUUUAAUAGGGUUAAGCUUGUAAAGAAGCUGCAGCUUUUUCCUGAUUUCUCGUCACCCUGCACUUUUUGUUCAGUCAAAUCUUGGAAAUUAGUGUGAAAAAGUUGAUCCAGUCUAGUUCAGCAGUAAAUGAAAAGAUCAUUUAAAUGUGGGGAUAUUUUAUACGAAUCAAGAGUUCCUUUGUUUUGCCGAGAACAGCUUUAAAAGCUAUUAAUAGCAGCCUAAUGCAGUCACCGCCAUCCUAUUGUUUUGUCUGUGUGCAGCAACUUUCUUUAUAUUUUUAGUGAAAUAUAUAUUUAAAGCUGCUAAUUUGGUUAAAUUCUGUGCACUGCAUUUCAUACGUUGCAUGGUGUGUAAAAGGAAUAACUGGAUGUUCUUUUUUGUUUUAAUUUUUCACUAUUUCAGCAAAAAAUGUAGCUUAUUGUAACAAACAUCUGUUGAUUUUUUAAUUUUAUUGAAAUGUGGAGAUGGCUGAUUUUUUUGCUCCUGAUGCCUUUUGGUCAGAUUAACACCACAUGUUCGUGCAGAACAAAAGUUUGAUGAAAGUGGGUGUUUUCACGUACAGUCACAUGAAUAUUUGCAGACUUUGUCACACGUUGCAGCUAUACUGUACGGCCAUGCUUUAGCAUGAGGCUUUGUCUUCCCUGAAGGAAAACUCCUCUUUGGCUGCUGUUGUUUACUGCUUUCAGCACCUUGAUUGAUUAGUUACACUGUGUUGACAGAAAUUCUCUCUAAUCAGCUCAAAAGCAAUCAUCUUUUUUAAUAUGUUGUUUUUUUUGAAAGAGGAGAGAAACUUGAUUAGUUGUGCUUCAAGUUUUUACACUUGGAAUUUCACAUUAGAUUGUGUUUAUUGUAAAAAAUUAAGUGUAUUUUUUGUCGUUUCUGGAAUGGUCUAAGUUGUGUAUUCUCUCCUAUUAGAAAUAUAGCUGUUAAUUACUGCAUUUGGAUCUUAAAUAUUAAAGUAAAAGUAUUGAGGGGGUAAUUCUGUAUUAACUUGAUGAUUUUGGGUAUUCAUUGUCAUUAAGAAAUACAAAUGAUUUCUGUGCAUUUUAACAGGUUUUUGAACCAGAAGGUUUUUAAAUGUUGAAGCAGAAUAAUUAAGUUUUUGUGCUGUUUGUGGAUUGUCGAUCGAAGUUAAAUCUGAGGUGUAAAUAUGUACAAAACAUUUCAAGUUUCAAAUAGUUUGUAAAUUGAUGAGGAAUUUUUGAUUGUUUCAUGUUGAUAGAAAUUAGCUCAUGUUUUUACAAAAGUAAUAAAGGACAUUUACUGCAAAAAA
Molecule: long non-coding RNA, 3165 nt
Organism: Amphiprion ocellaris (clown anemonefish)
Lineage: Eukaryota; Metazoa; Chordata; Actinopteri; Pomacentridae
Exons: 2
Source: RefSeq, a predicted model, not a curated record